GGGAGGCAGUAGGGCUGCCCUAAAGGGUGGGGUCGUGGGCUAGCCUUGGCUGGCAUCUAGUUUUGUAACUGAUUACAUACACUGUGUGAAUCUGUCAGCACUGGAACCCACUCAGUUCGCCAGACCUAAUUAAUCCCUACUGUGAGUCCAGGAGCAGCUUGGAGCUGAGAGGAGUGAUGAGAACCCAUCCGCCCCCAGUAAACGGAUGACCUCAACCCUGGAGGACGCUGUCCAGGAAAAUCCCUCUUUUCCUUCUCCUCAUCCCCGAAUUGAAAAUAAGGGCAGAGACUCCUACUUGGGACUUCUUGAGGAAACAAACAAACAAAGUAAAAGCACCAAUUCAUCUGGAUUUUCUUCAUUUGUCUUAAAUACAAACAAACAAAAGGAGAGUGGUUAUUUCUGCACCAACUAUUUCCAACGCAAGUUGCCUCAUCGCUCGGGGUGUUUGGAUAGUGCUUGUCACCACAGGACCACAGGGCCAGUUCCAACUGUUACUCAUGUUGCAUUCCAAAAGGCAAGCACCUGCCACUUCUUCAAAGUCAGCUGAUCAUUCGAGAUGAUGGACGGCGAGGCCGCCGAUGACGUCUCCUUUCAAGUCUCUUUGUCUAAGUGAAUUAUCGUGCGUCCUUUUAAUUUUAUUGAACAAAUUACAUUUGUCAAGGUCUAUCUUUGUAAAUAAAUGAUAACUAGAGACACAUGGAUGCGUAUUUCUGUU
This 715-nucleotide small RNA is filed under the name Rattus norvegicus (Norway rat). RNAcentral's name for it is "uncharacterized LOC108350128". The record is from RNAcentral. Lineage: Eukaryota; Metazoa; Chordata; Mammalia; Rodentia; Muridae.